RNAcentral lists this small RNA (933 nucleotides) under Pan troglodytes (chimpanzee). Its description in RNAcentral is "processed transcript". Lineage: Eukaryota; Metazoa; Chordata; Mammalia; Primates; Hominidae. The record is from RNAcentral.
GUCCCCGGUGUCGGGGCAGGAGGAACGCGCGCGGCUGAGGCGAGGUCGCUCGGCGCAGCUGUUGCGGGGCCAUGGCGGGGACGGCGCUCAAGAGGCUGAUGGCCGAGUACAAACGGGCCCAGAAGACACCUGCUUUGAGUUUGGUGUUUUUCCUGCCAUCCUGAGUUUCCCACUUGAUUACCCGUUAAGUCCCCCAAAGAUGAGAUUUACCUGUGAGAUGUUUCAUCCCAACAUCUACCCUGAUGGGAGAGUCUGCAUUUCCAUCCUCCACGCGCCAGGCGACGACCCCAUGGGCUACGAGAGCAGCGCGGAGCGGUGGAGUCCUGUGCAGAGCGUGGAGAAGAUCCUGCUGUCGGUGGUGAGCAUGCUGGCAGAGCCCAAUGACGAAAGUGGAGCUAACGUGGAUGCGUCCAAAAUGUGGCGCGAUGACCGGGAGCAGUUCUAUAAGAUUGCCAAGCAGAUCGUCCAGAAGUCUCUGGGACUGUGAGACCUGGCCUCGCACAGGCGCAUACACACCGCCAAGCAGCUCAGCAUUCUCCCCCGGCACACUUAGUGACAGUGAUGCUCUGUGCUGGUACCAAACAAGGCAGACUUGCAAGAACCACGGCAUCUUUUUUUUUUUUCAAACCUUUCCUACUUCAAACAGGCUUCUCUUCUGAAAUGAUGACUUAAUGUCGAAUAUUGACAGCUUACUGCAGUUUUACAGUAUUCCUCACAAAGGGCUUCAGGUAGAUUAUCAGAGCUGUCAGCACUACCUCUCCCCGCUGAAACCAGCAGUUCAUGGCUUCCUGUGGAUUCCCUCCCUCCCUGGAGUGUUGAGGGGGUUGUACCUGCCAGACUUCCAGGGGACGAUGGAAUACCCAGAACGCUCCUUCUGAAGAAAUGGGGCCCUGUAGCUGCAGCACAGGGGAAGGGCCCAGCACCCUUUCUGGG